UUAACUUUGAUGAAUAAUGAUAUUUUCCUGAAUCAGCAAUGAUGAUCAUGGAACUAGCAUUUUAAAACUGGUUAAG
Molecule: small nucleolar RNA, 76 nt
Organism: Lemur catta (Ring-tailed lemur)
Lineage: Eukaryota; Metazoa; Chordata; Mammalia; Primates; Lemuridae
Source: RefSeq, a predicted model, not a curated record